GACGAACGCUGGCGGCGUGCUUAACACAUGCAAGUCGAACGGAAAGGCCCUGCUUUUGUGGGGUGCUCGAGUGGCGAACGGGUGAGUAACACGUGAGUAACCUGCCCGUGACUCUGGGAUAACUUCAGGAAACUGGGGCUAAUACCGGAUAGGAGCUCCUGCUGCAUGGUGGGGGUUGGAAAGUUUCGGCGGCUGGGGUUGGACUGGCGGGUUAUCAGCUUGUGGGUGGGGUAGUGGCUUCCCAAGUCUUUGGCGGGUAGCCGGCCUUGGAGGGUGAGCGGCCACAUUGGGCCUGAGAUACGGCCCAGACUCCUACGGGAGGCAGCAGUCGGGAAUAUUGCACAAUGGGCGGAAGCCUGAUGCAGCGACGCCGCGUGCGGGAUGACGGCCUUCGGGUUGUAAACCGCUUUCGCCUGUGACGAAGCGUGAGUGACGGUAAUGGGUAAAGAAGCACCGGCUAACUACGUG
Molecule: ribosomal RNA, 468 nt
Filed under: uncultured bacterium
Lineage: Bacteria
Description: partial 16S ribosomal RNA
Rfam family: Bacterial small subunit ribosomal RNA
Source: RNAcentral